GACGAACGCUGGCGGCGUGCUUAACACAUGCAAGUCGAACGGAAAGGCCCUGCUUUUGUGGGGUGCUCGAGUGGCGAACGGGUGAGUAACACGUGAGUAACCUGCCCUUGACUUUGGGAUAACUUCAGGAAACUGGGGCUAAUACCGGAUAGGAGCUCCUGCUGCAUGGUGGGGGUUGGAAAGUUUCGGCGGUUGGGGAUGGACUCGCGGCUUAUCAGCUUGUUGGUGGGGUAGUGGCUUACCAAGGCUUUGACGGGUAGCCGGCCUGAGAGGGUGACCGGCCACAUUGGGACUGAGCUGCGGCACAGACUCCUACGGGAGGCAGCAGUGGGGAAUAUUGCACUAUGGGAGGAAGCCUAGUGCAGCAACGCCGCGUGCGGGAUGACGGCCUUCGGGUUGUAAACCGCUUUCGCCUGUGACGAAGCGUGAGUGACGGUAAUGGGUAAAGAAGCACCGGCUAACUACGUG
Molecule: ribosomal RNA, 468 nt
Filed under: uncultured bacterium
Lineage: Bacteria
Description: partial 16S ribosomal RNA
Rfam family: Bacterial small subunit ribosomal RNA
Source: RNAcentral